GAUGAACGCUGGCGGCGUGCCUAAUACAUGCAAGUCGAGCGAACAGAUGAGGAGCUUGCUCCUCUGACGUUAGCGGCGGACGGGUGAGUAACACGUGGAUAACCUACCUAUAAGACUGGGAUAACUUCGGGAAACCGGAGCUAAUACCGGAUAAUAUAUUGAACCGCAUGGUGCAAUAGUGAAAGACGGUUUUGCUGUCACGUAUAGAUGGAUCCGCGCCGCAUUAGCUAGUUGGUAAGGUAACGGCUUACCAAGGCAACGAUGCGUAGCCGACCUGAGAGGGUGAUAGGCCACACUGGAACUGAGACACGGACCAGAGUCCUACGGGAGGGCGCAGUAGGGAAUCUUCCGCAAUGGGCGAAAGCCUGACGGAGCAACGCCGCGUGAGUGAUGAAGGUCUUCGGAUCGUAAAGCUCUGUUAUUAGGGAAGAACCAAUGUGUAAGUAACUAUGCACGUCUUGACGGUAACUAAUCAGAAAGCAACGGCUAACUACGUG
RNAcentral lists this ribosomal RNA (497 nucleotides) under uncultured bacterium. Its description in RNAcentral is "partial 16S ribosomal RNA". It matches the Rfam family "Bacterial small subunit ribosomal RNA", at positions 28 to 507 of the family's 1533-position model. The record is from RNAcentral.